CGCUGGCGGCGCGUCUUAAGCAUGCAAGUCGAGCGGUAAGAUUGGUGCUUGCACUAAUCCUAGAGCGGCGGACUGGUGAGUAACGCGUGGGUGACGUACCUCUGUGACGGGGACAGCUCCUAGAAAUAGGAGAUAAUACCGGAUACGCUGCAUGUUGUCAGAGGACAUGCAGGAAAGGAUCUUUUGAUUCGCACAGAGAGCGGCCCGCGUACUAUUAGCUGGGUUGGUGGGGUAACGGCCCACCAAGGCGACGAUAGUUACCCGGCCUAAGAGGGUGAUCGGGCACAUUGGGACUGAGAUACGGCCCAGACUCCUACGGGAGGCAGCAGCUAAGAAUAUUCCGCAAUGGACGAAAGUCUGACGGAGCGACGCCGCGUGGAUGAUGAAGGCCGGAAGGUUUGUAAAAUCCUUUUAUGACUGAGGAAUAAGUGAAGUGAGAGAAACGCUUCAUGGUGACUGUAGGUCAUGAAUAAGCAACGGCUAAUUACGUGCCAGCAGCAGC
This 502-nucleotide ribosomal RNA is filed under the name uncultured bacterium. RNAcentral describes it as "bacterial SSU rRNA". It matches the Rfam family "Bacterial small subunit ribosomal RNA", at positions 34 to 518 of the family's 1533-position model. The record is from RNAcentral.